GAUACCCGGGUAGUCCACGCUGUAAACGAUGGGUGCUAGGUUUGGGGAGGAAACUCUCUGAGCCGUAGCUAACGCGUUAAGCACCCCGCCUGGGGAGUAUGGCCGCAAGGCUGAAACUCAAAGGAAUUGACGGGGGCUCGCACAAGCGGUGGAGCACGUGGUUUAAUUCGAUGCAAAGCGAAGAACCUUACCUAGGUUUGACAUGCCAGGGAAGUACUCUGGUGGAGACACUG
RNAcentral lists this ribosomal RNA (233 nucleotides) under uncultured bacterium. Its description in RNAcentral is "partial 16S ribosomal RNA". It matches the Rfam family "Bacterial small subunit ribosomal RNA", at positions 781 to 1011 of the family's 1533-position model. The record is from RNAcentral.